CGCUACUUUCACAAUAGCAUAUAAAAGCUCUGCAGUUUUACAGUAAUUUUGUUGCACAGUCUACAUGUUUUGCUAAAUUGUGAGUUGAUGAGAGAAAGGGACAUGAUAGCAGUACACCAGGAUGGUAAAAUUGUCAUCCUGUGAUGACAUCAUGGAUCACGUCACUCAUCUCUGCUCCAGCACUUGAUAGUUCAAUAUCCUCCGAACUCCGUUCUUUGCCGAGGGGACACCGACUGGUUGGCUCUGUGUCAAGCAGCAAGGCAGCAGCUCCUCGAGGUCAAUUACGAUUGGAGGCGGCACAUUGGAUGACUGGUUAGCAGAUCUGCCUCACAGUUCUGAGGAGCUGGCUUCAAAUCUAGCCUCGCUUUCAUGUUCUCCAUGCGGGAUUAUCUCCAGACAAUCAUCUGAUACGUGGUCUGAAUUAAAUCACAGAUUACAUAAGAAAAGGUCCUCACCGCCGCACACCAUCGCCGAUAAGGCAGAACCUGAAGUGACGGCGCUCGCCGCGCCGCCAUCAUCUCCCUUAUCUGCUCUCCUUCCUUCCUGCUUUCUUUUCUUCCACCUAUUAACCUGCACUCUUGAUUUAAAACACCGUGAUGGUGCCCAGCCAAGCAGAUUAAUAUGUAAAUGUCAGCAAAGCUUUAUAAUUACAGAAGAUUAACUAUAUUGUGGUAUAAUACUGGAAAGAGAUGCUAAAUUCCAUCCAUUCUUAGGUACAUAAUAAUCUUUUUUUUCUCCUCUUUUCCAACCAGAGAAAAUAUUUCUCUUUUCUUCAAACAAAGUGUUAAAUAUGGAAUGACAUCCAUUAUACUGUACAUUUGAGGAUGAAAAAUAAUU
This is a long non-coding RNA of Syngnathoides biaculeatus (alligator pipefish), 837 nucleotides long. RefSeq lists it as uncharacterized. The record is from RefSeq and is a predicted model, not a curated record. Lineage: Eukaryota; Metazoa; Chordata; Actinopteri; Syngnathiformes; Syngnathidae. The transcript is spliced from 4 exons.